GUUAAAGUAGAGCAAUUGGUUAGCUCAUUAGGCUCAUGCCCUAAAGGUUGUAGGUUCAAGUCCUACCUUUAACA
RNAcentral lists this transfer RNA (74 nucleotides) under Attheya longicornis. RNAcentral describes it as "tRNA-Met". It matches the Rfam family "tRNA". Rfam says of the family: Transfer RNA (tRNA) molecules are approximately 80 nucleotides in length. Their secondary structure includes four short double-helical elements and three loops (D, anti-codon, and T loops). Further hydrogen bonds mediate the characteristic L-shaped molecular structure. tRNAs have two regions of fundamental functional importance: the anti-codon, which is responsible for specific mRNA codon recognition, and the 3' end, to which the tRNAs corresponding amino acid is attached (by aminoacyl-tRNA synthetases). tRNAs cope with the degeneracy of the genetic code in two manners: having more than one tRNA (with a specific anti-codon) for a particular amino acid; and 'wobble' base-pairing, i.e. permitting non-standard base-pairing at the 3rd anti-codon position. Lineage: Eukaryota; Bacillariophyta; Biddulphiophyceae; Attheyales; Attheyaceae. The record is from RNAcentral.